GGGAGCCCAAUCCCUCCCAGAAAGGCUGUGUUCGGCGCGAGCGCCCAUCCACCCCAAGCGCCAAUACGGCUGGCCCGUCCGGUUGUCCCCCCGGACGGGCC
This is a small RNA of Afipia sp. P52-10, 101 nucleotides long. It matches the Rfam family "Rhizobiales-2 RNA". The record is from Rfam. NCBI's taxonomy places the organism in Bacteria, Pseudomonadati, Pseudomonadota, Alphaproteobacteria, Hyphomicrobiales, Nitrobacteraceae.